AAGGAUCAUUAUCGUACAACUGAGGUGCGAAGGCUGUCGCUGACCCUCAAGGGUCGUGCACGCCCGAGCGCUCUCACACAAUCCAUCUCACCUUUGUGCAUCACCGCGUGGGUCCCCUUUGCGGGAGGGCUCACGUUUUCACAUAAAACUCGAUACAGUGUAGAAUGUUUCUUUUGCGGUCACACGCAAUCAAUACAACUUUCAACAACGGAUCUCUUGGCUCUCGCAUCGAUGAAGAACGCAGCGAAAUGCGAUACGUAAUGUGAAUUGCAGAAUUCAGUGAAUCAUCGAAUCUUUGAACGCACCUUGCGCCCCUUGGCAUUCCGAGGGGCACACCCGUUUGAGUGUCGUGAAAUCUUCAAAACCCCUUUUUCUUUGAACCAUUGCGGUCGGAAAAAAAGGAUUUUUGGACUUGGAGGUUUAAUGCUCGCCCUUUCUCUUGAAAGCGAGCUCCUCUCAAAUGAAUUAGUGGGGUCCGCUUUGCUGAUCCUUGACGUGAUAAAAUGUUUCUACGUUUUGGGUUUAGCACUGUCCCUUGGAUGCCUGCUGCUAACCGUCUCAUUGACAAUGAUGGUGCUCCGGUCACUGCCGUCUACAUCGGCGGGAGGCUGGACCCACAAAAAGAAAACCUUGA
Molecule: ribosomal RNA, 634 nt
Filed under: Russula aff. xerampelina r-01015
Lineage: Eukaryota; Fungi; Basidiomycota; Agaricomycetes; Russulales; Russulaceae
Description: eukaryotic LSU rRNA
Rfam family: 5.8S ribosomal RNA (bases 197-350)
Source: RNAcentral